CCCAGUUCGGAUUGUAGUCUGCAACCCGACUACAUGAAGCUGGAGUCGCUAGUAAUCGCGGAUCAGAAUGCCGCGGUGAAUACGUUCCCGGGUCUUGUACACACCGCCCGUCACACCAUGGGAGUCGGAAAUGCCCGAAGUCUGUGACCUAACCGUAAGGAAGGAGCAGCCGAAGGCAGGUCGGAUGACUGGGGUGAAGUCGUAACAAGGUAGC
Molecule: ribosomal RNA, 214 nt
Filed under: uncultured bacterium
Lineage: Bacteria
Description: partial 16S ribosomal RNA
Rfam family: Bacterial small subunit ribosomal RNA
Source: RNAcentral